Molecule: long non-coding RNA, 463 nt
Filed under: Hordeum vulgare
Lineage: Eukaryota; Viridiplantae; Streptophyta; Magnoliopsida; Poales; Poaceae
Description: long non-coding RNA (HVUL_LNC020480)
Source: RNAcentral
GUUAAGAAAGAAUUUGGUGCUACAAUCAUAACACGAGGCAGGUGCCCUUUUGGUCGAGUGCCUGGAGUGGCAAAUAAAUACUGAGGAUAAUCAAUCAGAUUCCCUGUCCCAAUUCAGAUUAGAUUCAGCAUGAGCCAUCAUCUUGUACGAGUGCUAAACAUCAUACGGGACCAAAAAAGAGCAGAGACAAAGAAUCAUCCGCUGGCUGCAUGUUGACUUGAUCAAUCUUCUCAUUAGCUGCACGACGUGAUUCACUUCGUCGCCGUGACCCAUCCGAGAUAGCCCUUUGUGCCGUUGCGGCCUCUCAGCCGCCGCGCCCGCCUUCGCAGUGGCUGACGUCGUCUAGGCCGGCUUCGCCCCGCCGUGCGCGCGUCCGCUCUAACAGGUGCACUUCAACCUGCCGCGCCAGCUUGCGCCAUGGUCUCGCGUCCGAGCCGCCGUUUGUUUUUGCCUUGCUAUACCC